AGUAGGGAAUCUUCCGCAAUGGGCGCAAGCCUGACGGAGCAACGCCGCGUGAGUGAUGAAGGUUUUCGGAUCGUAAAGCUCUGUUGCCAGGGAAGAACGUCCGGUAGAGUAACUGCUGCCGGAGUGACGGUACCUGAGAAGAAAGCCCCGGCUAACUACGUGCCAGCAGCCGCGGUAAUACGUAGGGGGCAAGCGUUGUCCGGAAUUAUUGGGCGUAAAGCGCGCGCAGGCGGUUAUUUAAGUCUGGUGUUUAAACCUUGGGCUCAACCUGAGGUCGCACUGGAAACUGGGUGACUUGAGUACAGAAGAGGAAAGUGGAAUUCCACGUGUAGCGGUGAAAUGCGUAGAUAUGUGGAGGAACACCAGUGGCGAAGGCGACUUUCUGGGCUGUAACUGACGCUGAGGCGCGAAAGCGUGGGGAGCAAACAGGAUUAGAUACCCUGGUAGUCCACGCCGUAAACGAUGAGUGCUAGGUGUUAGGGGUUUCGAUACCCUUGGUGCCGAAG
Molecule: ribosomal RNA, 506 nt
Filed under: uncultured Paenibacillus sp.
Lineage: Bacteria; Bacillati; Bacillota; Bacilli; Caryophanales; Paenibacillaceae
Description: bacterial SSU rRNA
Rfam family: Bacterial small subunit ribosomal RNA
Source: RNAcentral